AGAGUUUGAUCCUGGCUCAGGACGAACGCUGGCGGCGUGCCUAAUACAUGCAAGUCGAGCGGACAGAUGGGAGCUUGCUCCCUGAUGUUAGCGGCGGACGGGUGAGUAACACGUGGGUAACCUGCCUGUAAGACUGGGAUAACUCCGGGAAACCGGGGCUAAUACCGGAUGGUUGUUUGAACCGCAUGGUUCAAACAUAAAAGGUGGCUUCGGCUACCACUUACAGAUGGACCCGCGGCGCAUUAGCUAGUUGGUGAGGUAACGGCUCACCAAGGCAACGAUGCGUAGCCGACCUGAGAGGGUGAUCGGCCACACUGGGACUGAGACACGGCCCAGACUCCUACGGGAGGCAGCAGUAGGGAAUCUCCCGCAAUGGACGAAAGUCUGACGGAGCAACGCCGCGUGAGUGAUGAAGGUUUUCGGAUCGUAAAGCUCUGUUGUUAGGGAAGAACAAGUACCGUUCGAAUAGGGCGGUACCUUGACGGUACCUAACCAGAAAGCCACGGCUAACUACGUGCCAGCAGCCGCGGUAAUACGUAGGUGGCAAGCGUUGUCCGGAAUUAUUGGGCGUAAAGGGCUCGCUGGCGGUUUCCUAAGUCGGAUGUGAAAGCCCCCGGCUCAACCGGGGAGGGUCAUUGGAAACUGGGGAACUUGAGUGCAGAAGAGGAGAGUGGAAUUCCACGUGUAGCGGUGAAAUGCGUAGAGAUGUGGAGGAACACCAGUGGCGAAGGCGACUCUCUGGUCUGUAACUGACGCUGAGGAGCGAAAGCGUGGGGAGCGAACAGGAUUAGAUACCCUGGUAGUCCACGCCGUAAACGAUGAGUGCUAAGUGUUAGGGGGUUUCCGCCCCUUAGUGCUGCAGCUAACGCAUUAAGCACUCCGCCUGGGGAGUACGGUCGCAAGACUGAAACUCAAAGGAAUUGACGGGGGCCCGCACAAGCGGUGGAGCAUGUGGUUUAGUUCGAAGCAACGCGAAGAACCUUACCAGGUCUUGACAUUCUCUGACAAUCCUAGAGAUAGGACGUCCCCUUCGGGGGCAGAGUGACAGGUGGUGCAUGGUUGUCGUCAGCUCGUGUCGUGAGAUGUUGGGUUAAGUCCCGCAACGAGCGCAACCCUUGAUCUUAGUUGCCAGCAUUCAGUUGGGCACUCUAAGGUGACUGCCGGUGACAAACCGGAGGAAGGUGGGGAUGACGUCAAAUCAUCAUGCCCCUUAUGACCUGGGCUACACACGUGCUACAAUGGACAGAACAAAGGGUAGCGAAACCGCGAGGUUAAGCCAAUCCCACAAAUCUGUUCUCAGUUCGGAUCGCAGUCUGCAACUCGACUGCGUGAAGCUGGAAUCGCUAGUAAUCGCGGAUCAGCAUGCCGCGGUGAAUACGUUCCCGGGCCUUGUACACACCGCCCGUCACACCACGAGAGUUUGUAACACCCGAGGUCGGUGAGGUAACCUUUUAGGAGCCAGCCGCCGAAGGUGGGACAGAUGAUUGGGGUGAAGUCGUAACAAGGUAGCCGU
Molecule: ribosomal RNA, 1513 nt
Filed under: Bacillus subtilis
Lineage: Bacteria; Bacillati; Bacillota; Bacilli; Caryophanales; Bacillaceae
Description: bacterial SSU rRNA
Rfam family: Bacterial small subunit ribosomal RNA
Source: RNAcentral